RNAcentral lists this ribosomal RNA (180 nucleotides) under uncultured Glomeromycotina. RNAcentral describes it as "partial small subunit ribosomal RNA". The record is from RNAcentral. Lineage: Eukaryota; Fungi; Glomeromycota.
GGGUCAGUAGAUUGGUCGUGCCACUGGUAUGUACUGGUCUUACUGGCUCCUCCUUCCUGAUGAACCGUAAUGCCAUUAAUUUGGUGUUGCGGGGAGACUGGACUGUUACUUUGAAAAAAUUAGAGUGUUUAAAGCAGGCUAACGCUUGAAUACAUUAGCAUGGAAUAAUGAAAUAGGACG